UAGGGAAUCUUCGGCAAUGGGGGCAACCCUGAGCGAGCAACGCCGCGUGAGUGAAGAAGGUUUUCGGAUCGUAAAGCUCUGUUGUAAGAGAAGAACGUGUGUGAGAGUGGAAAGUUCACACAGUGACGGUAACUUACCAGAAAGGGACGGCUAACUACGUGCCAGCAGCCGCGGUAAUACGUAGGUCCCGAGCGUUGUCCGGAUUUAUUGGGCGUAAAGCGAGCGCAGGCGGUUUAAUAAGUCUGAAGUUAAAGGCAGUGGCUUAACCAUUGUUCGCUUUGGAAACUGUUAAACUUGAGUGCAGAAGGGGAGAGUGGAAUUCCAUGUGUAGCGGUGAAAUGCGUAGAUAUAUGGAGGAACACCGGUGGCGAAAGCGGCUCUCUGGUCUGUAACUGACGCUGAGGCUCGAAAGCGUGGGGAGCAAACAGG
This 429-nucleotide ribosomal RNA is filed under the name bacterium. RNAcentral's name for it is "partial 16S ribosomal RNA". It matches the Rfam family "Bacterial small subunit ribosomal RNA", at positions 355 to 776 of the family's 1533-position model. The record is from RNAcentral.